This 75-nucleotide transfer RNA is filed under the name Deltaproteobacteria bacterium. RNAcentral describes it as "tRNA-Val". It matches the Rfam family "tRNA". From Rfam's summary of the family: Transfer RNA (tRNA) molecules are approximately 80 nucleotides in length. Lineage: Bacteria; Pseudomonadati; Myxococcota; Myxococcia. The record is from RNAcentral.
GGGCGGAUAGCUCAGUGGGAGAGCAUCGGCCUUACAAGCCGGGGGUCACAGGUUCAAGUCCUGUUCCGCCUACCA